ACGGUGGAUGCCUUGGCAGUUAGAGGCGAUGAAGGACGUGUAAGUCUGCGAAAAGCUGUGGUGAGCCGACAAAAUGCAUUUGAACCACAGAUGUCCGAAUGGGGAAACCCACCUGUUUACAGGUAUCGUUACGUGAAUACAUAGCGUAACGAGGCGAACGAGGGGAACUGAAACAUCUAAGUACCCUUAGGAAAAGAAAUCAAUUGAGAUUCCCCUAGUAGCGGCGAGCGAACGGGGAGCAGCCCUU
RNAcentral lists this ribosomal RNA (247 nucleotides) under Gymnodinium catenatum. RNAcentral's name for it is "partial Bacterial large subunit ribosomal RNA". It matches the Rfam family "Bacterial large subunit ribosomal RNA", at positions 21 to 272 of the family's 2925-position model. Lineage: Eukaryota; Dinophyceae; Gymnodiniales; Gymnodiniaceae. The record is from RNAcentral.